UGGGGAAUAUUGGACAAUGGAGGAAACUCUGAUCCAGCAAUUCUGUGUGGGUGAAGAAGGUUUUAGGACUGUAAAACACUUUUAGGAGGGAAGAAAAAAAUGACGGUACCUACAGAAGAAGCAACGGCUAAAUACGUGCCAGCAGCCGCGGUAAUACGUAUGUUGCGAGCGUUAUCCGGAAUUAUUGGGCUUAAAGGGCAUCUAGGCGGUAAGACAAGUUGAAGGUGAAAACCUGUGGCUCAACCAUAGGCUUGCCUACAAAACUGUUGAACUAGAGUACUGGAAAGGUGGGUGGAACUACACGAGUAGAGGUGAAAUUCGUAGAUAUGUGUAGGAAUGCCGAUGAUGAAGAUAACUCACUGGACAGAAACUGACGCUGAAGUGCGAAAGCUAGGGGAGCAAACAGG
This 407-nucleotide ribosomal RNA is filed under the name Verrucomicrobiota bacterium. RNAcentral describes it as "Verrucomicrobia bacterium partial 16S ribosomal RNA". It matches the Rfam family "Bacterial small subunit ribosomal RNA", at positions 355 to 776 of the family's 1533-position model. Lineage: Bacteria; Pseudomonadati; Verrucomicrobiota. The record is from RNAcentral.